This 251-nucleotide ribosomal RNA is filed under the name uncultured prokaryote. RNAcentral describes it as "partial 16S rRNA". It matches the Rfam family "Bacterial small subunit ribosomal RNA", at positions 525 to 775 of the family's 1533-position model. The record is from RNAcentral.
ACGGGGGGUGCAAGCGUUGUUCGGAAUCAUUGGGCGUAAAGCGCGCGCAGGCGGCUUGGUAAGUCAGAUGUGAAAUCCCUGGGCUUAACCCAGGAAGUGCAUUUGAUACUGCCUCGCUAGAGUACGGGAGAGGAAAGUGGAAUUCCUGAAGUAGCGGUGAAAUGCGUAGAUAUGAGGAGGAACACCAGUGGCGAAGGCGACUUACUGGUCCGAAACUGACGCUGAACCGUGAAAGCGUGGGGAGCAAACAG